AUGAAAAAUGGUGAAGGGGAGUCAGAAGUUCUGAGCACAGGCCACCUCUUUCUUGGCAGUUAUUUAACAGUAUGUGAGUUACCUCACUUCUUAGCUUAGAUUUCUCCCCUACAAAAUGGAAAUAAUAAUAUCAACCUCAUAGAUUUCUUGUGAAGAUCAAAUGGAAUGAUGGCAUUGACGGACUCAGUGGGAAUUCAAGAAGUUAGCAAGCUUUAGAAUGUACCAUCUUGAAACAUCAUGACUUGUGGAGUGAUAAUGCUGUCCAAUCAUCUAUGCAUUCAUAGUCUUCCCAUCUGCUGCUUGCCUUCCCUUCAGUUCUAAGAGGAGGAACAGAACCAUAAUUCAGUAGUACUGAGAGCCUGGCCUGAAGUAACUAUGUAUAUGUGAAACCAAGAAGUCACUUCAUUAUCCCAAAGUUAUUUGUCUUGUGUCCCCCUCACAAAUUCAGGCUGAC
Odocoileus virginianus texanus is the source of this 454-nucleotide long non-coding RNA. RefSeq lists it as uncharacterized. The record is from RefSeq and is a predicted model, not a curated record. NCBI's taxonomy places the organism in Eukaryota, Metazoa, Chordata, Mammalia, Artiodactyla, Cervidae.